AUCGCUAUGGCUUAGUGGGAAAGCGCCAGGCUCAUAUGAUCGUGAUCACCUGCACCUGGAGAGCCCUUGAUCGAAACAAGGUGGCGAUA
Non-coding RNA from Apiotrichum porosum, 89 nucleotides. Lineage: Eukaryota; Fungi; Basidiomycota; Tremellomycetes; Trichosporonales; Trichosporonaceae. The record is from the annotation of a RefSeq genome assembly.